This 253-nucleotide ribosomal RNA is filed under the name uncultured bacterium. Its description in RNAcentral is "partial 16S ribosomal RNA". It matches the Rfam family "Bacterial small subunit ribosomal RNA", at positions 524 to 776 of the family's 1533-position model. The record is from RNAcentral.
UACGAAGGGGGCUAGCGUUGCUCGGAAUCACUGGGCGUAAAGCGCACGUAGGCGGAUCUUUAAGUCAGGGGUAAAAUCCUGGAGCUCAACUCCAGAACUGCCUUUGAUACUGGGGAUCUCGAGUCCGGGAGAGGUGAGUGGAACUGCGAGUGUAGAGGUGAAAUUCGUAGAUAUUCGCAAGAACACCAGUGGCGAAGGCGGCUCACUGGCCCGGUACUGACGCUGAGGUGCGAAAGCGUGGGGAGCAAACAGG